Long non-coding RNA from Pungitius pungitius (ninespine stickleback), 2203 nucleotides. RefSeq lists it as uncharacterized. The transcript is spliced from 2 exons. The record is from RefSeq and is a predicted model, not a curated record. NCBI's taxonomy places the organism in Eukaryota, Metazoa, Chordata, Actinopteri, Perciformes, Gasterosteidae.
AACCAAGGUGGGCAUAAGAGCAUCUCUGAACGCACAGUACGUCGAACUUUGAGGCAGAUGGGCUACAGCAGCAGAAGACCACACCGGGUGCCACUCCUUUCAGCUAAGAACAGGAAACUGAGGCUACAAUUUGCACAAGCUCAUCGAAAUUGGACAAUAGAAGAUUGGAAAAACGUUGCCUGGUCUGAUGAGUCUCGAUUUCUGCUGCGACAUUCGGAUGGUAGGGUCAGAAUUUGGCGUCUACAACAUGAAAGCAUGGAUCCAUCCUGCCUUGUAUCAACGGUUCAGGCUGGUGGUGGUGGUGUCAUGGCGUGGGGAAUAUUUUCUUGGCACUCUUUGGGCCCCUUGGUACCAAUUGAGCAUCGUUGCAACGCCACAGCCUACCUGAGUAUUGUUGCUGACCAUGUCCAUCCCUUUAUGACCACAAUGUACCCAACUUCUGAUGGCUACUUUCAGCAGGAUAAAGCGCCAUGUCAUAAAGCUGGAAUCAUCUCAGACUGGUUUCUUGAACAUGACAAUGAGUUCGCUGUACUCAAAUGGCCUCCACAAUCACCAGAUCUCAAUCCAAUAGAGCAUCUUCGGGAUGUGGUGGAACGGGAGAUUCGCAUCAUGGAUGUGCAGCCGACAAAUCUGCGGCAACUGUGUGAUGCCAUCAUGUCAAUAUGGACCAAACUCCCUGAGGAAUGCUUCCAGCACCUUGUUAAAUCUAUGCCACGAAGAAUUGAGGCAGUUCUGAAGGCAAAAGGGGGUCCAACCCGUUACUAGCAUGGGGUACCUAAUAAAGUGGCCGGUGAGUGUAGAUCUGUAUAGAUAUAGAUCUAUACACACGUCUCUCUGUUCUCAUUGCAUCCGGACAGCAGCCAUCUGAGCGGGAAGUGGCUUCUUUGUUGCGUGCGGAUCUGUCAUUAGAGAUGCUUCAGGAGAACAUCUGGUGUUCUGAUGAAAAUCUUCAGCGGGCUGAUCUAUCAGAAGGAUUUGAGGAAAACCCUUUGAAACCCUCAAUCGACUCCAAUGUUCUCCUGGUUCAGACAGAAGUAGUAGAACCAGGUUUUUCUACUCCGAUGUUCUCCUGGAUCAGACAGAAGUAGUAUAGCCGGGUUUUUCUAUUCCGAUGUUCUCCUGGAUCAGACAGAAGUAGUAGAACCAGGUUUUUCUACUCUGAUGUUCUCCUGGAUCAGACAGAAGUAGUAGAGCCGGGUAUUUCUAUUCCGAUGUUCUCCUGGAUCAGACAGAAGUAGAGCCAGGUGUUUCUAUUCCGAUGUUCUCCUGGAUCAGACAGAAGUAGUAGAGCCGGGUAUUUCUAUUCCGAUGUUCUCCUGGAUCAGACAGAAGUAGUAGAGCCGGGUGUUUCUAUUCCGAUGUUCUCCUGGAUCAGACAGAAGUUGUAGAGCCAGGUUUUUCUACUCCGAUGUUCUCCUGGAUCAGACAGAAGUUGUAGAGCCAGGUGUUUCUAUUCCGAUGUUCUCCUUGGAUCAGACAGAAGUAGUAGAGCCAGGUUUUUCUACUCCGAUGUUCUCCUGGAUCAGACAGAAGGCGUAGAGCCGGGUGUCUCUACCCCAAUGUUCUCCUGGAUCAGACAGAAGUAGUAGAGCCAGCUGUUUCUAUUCCGCCAGAUAUUUGCUCUUUUUAUUUCCUCCAUUUAUUUAAUCCGAACCAGGAAGUGACCCCUAGCUGCUCGGUUCUAAUUGGCUCUUGUCUCUUUCUGUUUACGCACCCACGCAGACAAAGUAAACAAGUUAUUUUCGAUUCAGCUUUACCAAUAAAAUGAUGAUAACUAAGAUCAUUGUGACGAGACGUUUGACCCUGACUGUUGGAAGGUAAAUAAUUGCUAAGUAGUUCAAUCCUCCACAUUAGUGGAGAUUACUGAGAGUCGGUACCUUUGACCUUGAAACAAGUUUAUAAGGUUAAAGAGGCUUUUGUAGAGUUCUACAAAAGCCUCUUUAAAGUUGUGUACAAACUAACUGAGUUUCUAGUUCCUUUAUCAAACCUAAAUAAUAAAAUAAAGAAGUUGAAGUCUAAAGUUGUAGGUAUUUUUUGAUUGAGCCCUCCGGUUCUCAUCCUGCAGAGGAUUGUGUUAUGUUUUGGCGGCGAUAUAAAGCUGAGCUGGUUACUGUACAUUAUUGUUUUAUUCCAUAGAUAUAAUGUGUUUUAAUAGAAAUGCUUGUGGAAGAUACCAAUUAAAUACUAUGAUGAAAAACAUUAA